GCUAAUACCGCAUGACAUCCGACCGGGGCAUCCCGGACGGAUCAAAGGAGAAAUCCGGUCAGAGAUGAGCUCGCGUCCGAUUAGUUAGUUGGUGGGGUAAUGGCCUACCAAGACCGCGAUCGGUAGCCGGACUGAGAGGUUGAACGGCCACAUUGGGACUGAGACACGGCCCAGACUCCUACGGGAGGCAGCAGUGGGGAAUAUUGGGCAAUGGGCGAAAGCCUGACCCAGCAACGCCGCGUGAAGGAUGAAGGCCCUUGGGUUGUAAACUUCUUUGACGAGGGACGAAAAAAAUGACGGUACCUCGAAAACAAGCCACGGCUAACUACGUGCCAGCAGCCGCGGUAAUACGUAGGUGGCAAGCGUUAUCCGGAUUUACUGGGUGUAAAGGGCGUGUAGGCGGGUCUGCAAGUCGGAUGUGAAAUUUCCAGGCUUAACUUGGAAGGGUCAUUCCGAAACUGCGGAUCUUGAGUACUGGAGAAGAUAGUGGAAUUCCUAG
Molecule: ribosomal RNA, 499 nt
Filed under: uncultured bacterium
Lineage: Bacteria
Description: bacterial SSU rRNA
Rfam family: Bacterial small subunit ribosomal RNA
Source: RNAcentral